Oreochromis aureus is the source of this 735-nucleotide long non-coding RNA. NCBI's taxonomy places the organism in Eukaryota, Metazoa, Chordata, Actinopteri, Cichliformes, Cichlidae. The record is from Ensembl.
UGGAAUAUUAUGUUUUUGUUGCUGCAAGCACUUUUUUGCAAUUUUUGCAAAGCUAUAUGUGGAAGGAAAUCGUGACCUCGGACAAGCUGAAUGCAGAAGAUAUCAGAAAACCAACACCAGCAGCAACAAGAACAGCAGGAACACUCAGACCAACGAUCAGUCCAACAGAUCCUCCUGCAGGUGAGAAACAGGUGUGAGGUGUCAGCUGUCAGGUAGGUGAUGAGUGAAGAACAGAACAGAAUCCAUUUCCUCUUCAAACUGCUGUCAGACAUUAUCUACUGCACUCUGAUCACAUCACUCAGACCAGCUGCUUUCUACAAAGUCUCAUCAACAACAUCUUUAGAAACAAACAUCAACAACCAGGAAGCAGCUUCACCUCUGAUCACACACACACUCAACUCUACUCACUCACCUGGAGGAACAACUUUCAGUGUGACGAUACUGAUGGGUUCACCAACUAGAUUAGCUCUCUUCCUCACAUUUGUUCCUCUAAUGAAGGCCUCACACUUGUAUGUUCCAGUGUCAUUAAUCAUCACAUCCUUCAGAAUCAAAGACACGUCUCCAUCCUUCAUCCGUCUGUCCUGCAGAUCCACCCAGUUCUUAAAAGAUGGAUGCUGGUUGGUUGGAUCAAGCUGGUCAUCCCUGUACAAAAGCACAUAUUCAUCUCCCAGCUCAGCUCUGGUCCACUCUACACCGGUGAUGCUGCUGCUGUUGUUUGGAGCUCGACAUGGAAGA